RNAcentral lists this ribosomal RNA (254 nucleotides) under uncultured bacterium. Its description in RNAcentral is "partial 16S ribosomal RNA". It matches the Rfam family "Bacterial small subunit ribosomal RNA", at positions 524 to 776 of the family's 1533-position model. The record is from RNAcentral.
CACGUAGGGUGCGAGCGUUGUCCGGAAUUAUUGGGCGUAAAGAGCUCGUAGGCGGUGUGUCGCGUCGGCCGUGAAAACCUGCAGCUUAACUGUGGGCUUGCGGUCGAUACGGGCAUCACUGGAGUUCGGCAGGGGAGACUGGAAUUCCUGGUGUAGCGGUGAAAUGCGCAGAUAUCAGGAGGAACACCGGUGGCGAAGGCGGGUCUCUGGGCCGAUACUGACGCUGAGGAGCGAAAGCGUGGGGAUCAAACAGG